GGUAAGUAGAUCUGAUCUUUCUUUUCUAACAUCUUUAUUGAAAGAUUUAACCAUAGAACAAGACGCGGUAAGUACACCUUUUCGCCUUGCGGAACUUUAUGAACAAAUCGCUGCUAUGAGAAGUUUUGUUAUAGACCAAGCUGAACAAGCUUUUGAAGAACAACAACUCCAACAAGUACAUGCAUGUGAAAGAUUCUAUGGACAACCAAGAUAUGCAAUACCUGAAGAUACCAGAACUAAUCUUUAUAAGAUGUUGGAGAC
Molecule: long non-coding RNA, 261 nt
Filed under: Manihot esculenta (cassava)
Lineage: Eukaryota; Viridiplantae; Streptophyta; Magnoliopsida; Malpighiales; Euphorbiaceae
Description: long non-coding RNA (MESC_LNC005512)
Source: RNAcentral